AACGAACGCUGGCGGCAUGCCUAACACAUGCAAGUCGAACGAGACCUUCGGGUCUAGUGGCGCACGGGUGCGUAACGCGUGGGAAUCUGCCCUUAGGUACGGAAUAACUCAGGGAAACUUGAGCUAAUACCGCAUAAUGACUCCGGUCCAAAGAUUUAUCGCCUAGGGAUGAGCCCGCGUAGGAUUAGCUAGUUGGUGAGGUAAAAGCUCACCAAGGCGACGAUCCUUAGCNGGUCUGAGAGGAUGAUCAGCCACACUGGGACUGAGACACGGCCCAGACUCCUACGGGAGGCAGCAGUGGGGAAUAUUGGACAAUGGGCGAAAGCCUGAUCCAGCAAUGCCGCGUGAGUGAUGAAGGCCUUAGGGUUGU
RNAcentral lists this ribosomal RNA (370 nucleotides) under uncultured bacterium. RNAcentral describes it as "bacterial SSU rRNA". It matches the Rfam family "Bacterial small subunit ribosomal RNA", at positions 29 to 426 of the family's 1533-position model. The record is from RNAcentral.